Molecule: ribosomal RNA, 614 nt
Filed under: Pichia manshurica
Lineage: Eukaryota; Fungi; Ascomycota; Pichiomycetes; Pichiales; Pichiaceae
Description: eukaryotic LSU rRNA
Rfam family: Eukaryotic large subunit ribosomal RNA
Source: RNAcentral
AGCGCAGGAAAGAACCAACAGGGAUUGCCCCAGUAGCGGCGAGUGAAGCGGCAAGAGCUCAGAUUUGAAAUCGUGUUUCGGCACGAGUUGUAGAGUGUAGGCGGGAGUCUCUGUGGAGCGCGGUGUCCAAGUCCCUUGGAACAGGGUGCCUGAGAGGGUGAGAGCCCCGUAGGGUGCUGCGCGAAGCUUUUGAGGCCCUGCUGACGAGUCGAGUUGUUUGGGAAUGCAGCUCCAAGCGGGUGGUAAAUUCCAUCUAAGGCUAAAUAUUGGCGAGAGACCGAUAGCGAACAAGUACUGUGAAGGAAAGAUGAAAAGCACUUUGAAAAGAGAGUGAAACAGCACGUGAAAUUGUUGAAAGGGAAGGGUAUUGGGCUCGACAUGGGGGGUGCGCACCGCUGUCUCUUGUAGGCGGCGCUCUGGGCGCCCUCUGGGCCAGCAUCGGUUCCUGCUGCGGGAGAAGGGGCUCCGGAAAGUGGCUCUUCGGAGUGUUAUAGCCGGGGCCAGAUGCCGCGUGUGGGGACCGAGGACUGCGGCUUCUGUCUCGGAUGCUGGCAUAACGGCGCAAUACCGCCCGUCUUGAAACACGGACCUCCUGUGUGAAGGGAAUCCGCUAA